CAGUAGCCACGGUAAUACAGAGGGUGCAAGCGUUAAUCGGAAUUACUGGGCGUAAAGCGCGCGUAGGUGGUUUGUUAAGUUGGAUGUGAAAUCCCCGGGCUCAACCUGGGAACUGCAUCCAAAACUGGCAAGCUAGAGUAUGGUAGAGGGUGGUGGAAUUUCCUGUGUAGCGGUGAAAUGCGUAGAUAUAGGAAGGAACACCAGUGGCGAAGGCGACCACCUGGACUGAUACUGACACUGAGGUGCGAAAGCGUGGGGAGCAAACAGGAUUAGAUACCCCGGUAGUCCCUGUCUCUUAUAA
RNAcentral lists this ribosomal RNA (301 nucleotides) under uncultured bacterium. RNAcentral's name for it is "partial 16S ribosomal RNA". It matches the Rfam family "Bacterial small subunit ribosomal RNA", at positions 509 to 809 of the family's 1533-position model. The record is from RNAcentral.